Molecule: long non-coding RNA, 901 nt
Filed under: Lactuca sativa (garden lettuce)
Lineage: Eukaryota; Viridiplantae; Streptophyta; Magnoliopsida; Asterales; Asteraceae
Description: long non-coding RNA (LSAT_LNC008310)
Source: RNAcentral
UCUAACUACACAUGUUAACUUCAAUUCGAAACAAAUAUUUUACCAUAAUUAUAAACAUGAUUGAUGUAAUUCUAACAGAAUAUUAGGUAAGUUAACUUCAUAUAUUCUGUCAGAAUUCUUGCUUAAACUUCAAUUCAACAAGAAUCUUACAAAAAAUGUUUCUUGCACUAAGAACUAAAAGAUUAAAAAAUGUUGUUUGAAAAACUGAUUACUCAGAAAAAAACAGAAUAGAAAACCUAAAAAAAACAUAGAAGUUCAAAGCAAGUCCCAUAUCUUCUUUUUUUCUUCACAACUUCAUUCGACUAGAAUCCUUGACAUUACCGAAUUUCUGAUCUACAUUGUGUUCAUCCCCAGAAGAGUUAUCCUGCAAACAAUAAAAUGUUUUUGGUAUAGAAGUUAACAGUGAAAAUAGUUAAACAAAAUACUUCACAAUUAAAUAAAAAAGAGAGAAUAAUUUGCUUACAAACGUGUGAUUUAAUUUCUAUACGUUGACGUGCUUCAUUGCCGACUCGUCGGAAACCCCAUUUUUUCCUAAAUGCUCGAUGUGUUUCUCUGCUUAGAUGUUGAAGAUUCUGGUAGUGAUGCUAAGGUUUGGAUGAAGUAAUUUAGGAGACGGUAAUGGUGUAACAACAAAUCGAUCUUAAUUUUGCUUAAAUAAAGUGAUAUAAUAUGAAUUUAAUUUUGGAUAUUGUUUAUUGUAUAUGUAAUAUUACAAAUCGACUGUAGCGGAUAAAAGAAGUCAUAUCAUACCGCUGUAGUGGAGAAAAGAUUCAGCGGCUCCAUUUGAUGUGGGGAAGGAGGGCGACGCCGAUGAAGGAAGAUGGUUGACAACAGACGGUGGUGCAAGUGGUCGGCAUCCAGUUUGAGGUAUUAGGUUGUAGAUUUGGUUGUUAGGUGUUGC